Molecule: unclassified non-coding RNA, 347 nt
Filed under: soil metagenome
Description: partial contains 5.8S ribosomal RNA, internal transcribed spacer 2, and large subunit ribosomal RNA
Rfam family: 5.8S ribosomal RNA (bases 1-120)
Source: RNAcentral
GAUGAAGAACGCAGCGAAAUGCGAUAAGUAAUGUGAAUUGCAGAAUUCAGUGAAUCAUCGAAUCUUUGAACGCACAUUGCGCCCGCCAGUAUUCUGGCGGGCAUGCCUGUCUGAGCGUCAUUUCAACCCUCAUGCCCCUAGGGCGUGGUGUUGGGGAUCGGCCAAAGCCCGCGAGGGACGGCCGGCCCCUAAAUCUAGUGGCGGACCCGUCGUGGCCUCCUCUGCGAAGUAGUGAUAUUCCGCAUCGGAGAGCGACGAGCCCCUGCCGUUAAACCCCCAACUUUCCAAGGUUGACCUCAGAUCAGGUAGGAAUACCCGCUGAACUUAAGCAUAUAAUAAGCGGAGGA